Molecule: ribosomal RNA, 743 nt
Filed under: uncultured archaeon
Lineage: Archaea
Description: bacterial SSU rRNA
Rfam family: Archaeal small subunit ribosomal RNA
Source: RNAcentral
GCGAGUCGAGAGGGUUCGGCCCUCGGCUGACGGCUCAGUAACACGUGGAUAAUCUGCCCUUAGGUGGAGGAUACCCUCGGGAAACUGAGAAUAAUACUCCAUAGGUCUAGGAUGCUGGAAUGCAUCUAGACUGAAAACUCCGGUGCCUAAGGAUGAGUCUGCGGACUAUCAGGUUGUAGUCAGGGUAAAGACCUGACUAGCCUACGACGGAUACGGGUUGUGAGAGCAAUAACCCGGAGAUGAUAUCUGAGACACGAUAUCAGGCCCUACGGGGCGCAGCAGGCGCGAAAACUUCACACUGUGCGAAAGCACGAUGAGGGAAUCCCAAGUGCCAGCUCGUAAGAGUUGGCUGUUUUUCUGUCUAAAACACAGAGAGAGUAAGAGCUGGGUAAGACGGGUGCCAGCCGCCGCGGUAAUACCUGCAGCUCAAGUGGUGACCGUUAUUAUUGGGCCUAAAACGUUCGUAGCCGGUUUAGUAAAUGCCUGGGUAAAUCGUGUAGCUUAACUAUACGAAUUCCGGGUAGACUGCUAAGCUUGAGACUGGGAGAGGCUAGAGGUACUCCUGGGGUAGAGGUGAAAUUCUGUAAUCCUGGGGGGACCACCAGUGGCGAAGGCGUCUAGCUAGAACGGAUCUGACGGUGAGGGACGAAGCCCUGGGGCGCAAACCGGAUUAGAUACCCGGGUAGUCCAGGGUGUAAACGCUGCUUGCUUGAUGUUAGUCGGGCUCCGAGCCCGAUUAGUGU